This 21-nucleotide non-coding RNA is filed under the name Arabidopsis thaliana (thale cress). Lineage: Eukaryota; Viridiplantae; Streptophyta; Magnoliopsida; Brassicales; Brassicaceae. The record is from RNAcentral.
UGAUACGAUUCUAAAGCUUGC